Molecule: ribosomal RNA, 468 nt
Filed under: uncultured bacterium
Lineage: Bacteria
Description: partial 16S ribosomal RNA
Rfam family: Bacterial small subunit ribosomal RNA
Source: RNAcentral
GACGAACGCUGGCGGCGUGCUUAACACAUGCAAGUCGAACGGAAAGGCCCUGCUUUUGUGGGGUGCUCGAGUGGCGAACGGGUGAGUAACACGUGUGUAACCUGCCCUUGACUUUGGGAUAACUUCAGGAAACUGGGGCUAAUACCGGAUAGGAGCUCCUGCUGCAUGGUGGGGGUUGGAAAGUUUCGGCGGUUGGGGAUGGACUCGCGGCUUAUCAGCUUGUUGGUGGGGUAGUGGCUUACCAAGGCUUUGACGGGUAGCCGGCCUGAGAGGGUGACCGGCGACAUUGGGACUGAGAUACGGCCCAGACUCCUACGGGAGGCAGCAGUGGGGAAUAUUGCACAAUGGGCGGAAGCCUGAUGCAGCAACGCCGCGUGCGGGAUGACGGCCUUCGGGUUGUAAACCGCUUUCGCCUGUGACGAAGCGUGAGUGACGGUAAUGGGUAAAGAAGCACCGGCUAACUACGUG